This is an RNA transcript of Daktulosphaira vitifoliae (grape phylloxera), 3561 nucleotides long. RefSeq lists it as uncharacterized. Lineage: Eukaryota; Metazoa; Arthropoda; Insecta; Hemiptera; Phylloxeridae. The record is from RefSeq and is a predicted model, not a curated record. The transcript is spliced from 8 exons.
UUUAUUAAAAUUGAUUUAAAUUUUUUUUUCAUUAAAUUGUAUUGUGAAGUACAUUUUCUAAAUACUGGAUAGAUAUAAUUAUAAAAACUACGUGAAAUGAACAAUUUAUAUUUAUACAUAGUCUUUAAAUGGUUCGGGACAUUUCCUAUUAUUUAUAAUCAAGAAAAAUGUCUUUUUCAAGUUUCUAAGAAUGGAAUAUUGUUGUGCUUUUUAUACUCAAUUAUCAUAUUAAGGACAAUUUACGAACUUAUGCGUGAAGUAAUCUCCGGUAAUUUAAAAAAAUCUGCAGCUGUAAGUUUAAUGAUAUUUUCUUGUCACUUUACUGGUUUAUUGAUUAUGAUUACGAAGAAAAUAGUUUGCAUAGAAGGCAUGAUUAAAAGUUAUAACAAUUUAGCUAAACUUCGAAUAAAUGAUAUUAUUCUUCCAAAAGGAUUUCAUGUUACAUUUUACAUUAAUGUUCUGGGGAUAAUAUUGGAAUUAAUUGGAGAUAGUAUUUCGAGCAUUAAAAAUGGAACUUAUGGAGCUAUGAUGGCUUAUAUACCAAUAUUGAAAUUCUGUAUAAUAGGUAUUGAAGUACAGAUAGUCAUUUUAUUUUUAAUCCUAAGUGAAUUAUAUAGUCGGCUUAAUAAAGAAGUGCAAUUUACAUUGGUCAAUGAUUUGAAACAAAUUCAAAAUAUGAGAAAUCGAAAUCUUGAAAUGUACAAAAUAUGUAAAAAAUUCAACUUGCAUUAUAAUGUUGAUAUUAUUAUUACUCUAUCAUCUUUCCAAAUAGUUUUACUUCACAUUAUCUAUGAAACUAUAAAAUCUAUAACUACGGAAGAUUUAUUUAUAUACUUUGAAGACAUUCAUAGUUUUAUAAAAUUUGUUUCGUCGAUGAGUCUUAUAGUAAGGCAUUCUUUUUUGACACUUUAUUUAGUCGAAUCAAGCACGAAUCUAUCAAAAAAGAGUACAAUGUCGUUUUACAACAUUUUGAAAAACAGAAACAUUCAUUUUUUUACUCAAGAAACUAAAGAACAGAUUUAUUUAUUUUUGAAAGAACUGCAUUCAACUGAAGUAAUUAUAUCUGCAAAUAACUGUUAUGAUAUUAAUAGAAAAUUUGUAUACACUAUAGCAGGUUCCAUCACAGCAUACCUUGUUUUAGUUUUGACAUUGAUAUUGGACCGAUACUAACAUUCAUUACUAAUUGUUAAUUUUGUUUUCAAAAAAUCUUUGAAGUCUACAUUAUUUUAAUACAUAUUAGUUAUGUAAUUUAAUUAUAAGAAUUUAAGAAAUAUCAUACAUGUGUAGUGAAGUUUUAUAUUUUAUUUAAUUACUCAUAAUUAUUUUAUUUAGUCCCUGUGGAUAGAGUAUAAGAAUACUUCUACGGCCCCUCUGCCAUCCAUAAGAGCCAAUUUAUGAGAUUGUGUCAGGUCAGGCAAAAUUUUGACAAAGAGUAUGAGAGGUCCUGAACAGAACUUAGGCGGAUUGUCCCAUCUUGGAUGUAUAUGGACACAACAGGUGAGAGGCAAUAACGGUAAAGAUGAUGAACGUCUAAAGAAUAAAAUGUUUGAUACCAGCCGGAAAACUUGUAACUUUUUCACCAGUCAUGAGUACAACGCUAAUAGUAUCAACAAUGUAAGGACAUCAUCACUCAACUUUAGGCUGGAAUAAUGUAUAAAGAAGAAUGAUAGAUACAGAGUAAGAAUAGGUACGCAGAAUGUUGGAUCAUUAACUUGUAGAAGUAUUGAAAUAGAGAAAAGUUAACAUUUGUUGUGUGCAGGAAACUAAGUGAAAGAGAGAUCACAGAUUGAUUAUAUAAUGUGGAAAAGAGAGAGCGUAAAGGAGUAAAAGAUAUUAAAGUUAUCUCUGGCAAGAAUGUAACUUCACAAAAUAGAAUGAUAGUAAUGGUGUUGUUGUGUAGUGGGAAGAGAGUAUACAAAAACAGAAAGAAUACAGGAGAACAAUUGAGGGUCCGGUGGUGGAAAUUGAAAGGGGAUAAAGAAAUACAGUUUUUAAAGAUGGUAAAAGAUAGGACGAUGUGGAAUGUUGAGAGAGUCAUACAUGAAGUGUGGAAUACAUUUGAUAGUUAUGUGAAGAAUACUGCAAAGGAGAUUGAUAGCAAUUGUAGGAAAAGAAUGCCAGGAAAAAAGGGAAUCUGAUAAUGAGAUGAGGACGUUCAAAAAAUCAUAGAGAGUAAGAAAAAGCAGUUCAAAAUAUGACAGAAGAGUAAGAGGAGAGAAGAUUGGAUGGAAUAAAACACUUGUGCAAAGAAGCCAAUUAUGCCGUAAGUAAGAUGAAGUUUAAGAAGUAAUCUUGAAAAAUUACUGAAUGAGGAGUAUCCAAAAGAGACAUUAGAGGAUAUCUCAUAGAAAGAGGGUCUGAAGAUUUAAUCGGUAAGAAAGAGAUAUGGGAAGCUCAGGCAUCAAUGAAAAAGAUCAAAAUAAAAGGACCUGAUGAAAUGCCAGUAGAAGUAUGGACAAUAUUAGGUGGUGUUGGCAUUUUGGUGGUUGAAAGAUCUUUUUAAUAAAAUCCUAUUAGAAUAAAAGAUGCCAAAAUAAUUGGAGGAAUAGUAUUGCAGUAUUAAUAUGUAAAGGUAAAGAAGAUAUUGUAAUAUACAUUUGGAUUAAUUGCAAUUUCCUGGUCUAUUGUAAUUGGACCAGAAAGUAAAUAUUUAUAAACAUUUUUGAUAAUGGUUGUGUUAUUAGAAUUUAAAAACAAAAUGUUUUAGUACAUAAGACAAAGUGGAAUGAAUUAUUGGGGAGCGUACUUCAGGAGCACCAUAGGUGCCUCUAAAACGACUAUUUACAUUAGCGCUCGAAAUGUACUACGUACCAAUUUGUCUAUUUAUUGUUAGCCUCUCUAAUUCAUUACUAGAUGUCACUAGGUACCUCUACUUACUGUUUUCAGCUACAGUUUGAAUUAUGAUUAUGAUAUUACGAUAUAUUAUAGUUUUGAAAUACGUUAUAAUUGAAACUCCAUUGAAGAUAUGAAAAAUGAGAUAUGGGCCACAUUAUUUCACAAAAUUUCGACCGAUCCGAAUCCGCAGUAUGACAAAUGUUCGGAGUCAAUGUAAACGGAAGAAGGCGAGAGCAGCGGGUGCCCUGCAUUCUUUUUCUUAUAAACUGCCUCUUCCUCAAGAAGUAUUUGAUGCUGUGAGGCCUGUCUAUGAGGAAUUAAAUCGAGUCAAGUUAUUGAGUCGUUGUUUAAGAGGCUAUACCAGAUUAGAAACGAAAAUUUUAACGCCACCGUAUAGAAGUUAGCUCCCAAGAAUUCUUCGAGUGGUAAAAACGAAUUCGAUAUUGCAGUAAAAUCUUACUGUAACUUCAACGACGGCAUGUCUAGCAUAUUGGUGAUCAUGAUCACAUAGACGUGGAAAUUGGCGUUCAGGCUAAUAAUUUCUGCAUGGAAGCCGAUGCUUUGCUCGUUAAGCUAAGCGCUCGUUAAAAAAUGCAAUAAAAGAGGCACGCUCUUCGCUAAAAUCGUCGAGAAAACAAGAAAUUUUAACCAUGUAUGAAAAACAACAUUCUUAAGAGAAACACGUAGCGGUUUUUAGAUAAGUUAAUUUAAAUAGUUUUUAUAAAC